GCAGCACCCUACAUUUCGACCUCGGAUCAGGUAGGGAUACCCGCCUGAACUUAAGCAUAUC
RNAcentral lists this ribosomal RNA (61 nucleotides) under Pertusaria erubescens. RNAcentral describes it as "partial large subunit ribosomal RNA". The record is from RNAcentral. Lineage: Eukaryota; Fungi; Ascomycota; Lecanoromycetes; Pertusariales; Pertusariaceae.